RNAcentral lists this ribosomal RNA (492 nucleotides) under uncultured bacterium. RNAcentral describes it as "partial 16S ribosomal RNA". It matches the Rfam family "Bacterial small subunit ribosomal RNA", at positions 29 to 507 of the family's 1533-position model. The record is from RNAcentral.
AGUGAACGCUGGCGGUAGGCCUAACACAUGCAAGUCGAACGGCAGCACAGUAAGAGCUUGCUCUUACGGGUGGCGAGUGGCGGACGGGUGAGGAAUACAUCGGAAUCUACUUUUUCGUGGGGGAUAACGUAGGGAAACUUACGCUAAUACCGCAUACGACCUACGGGUGAAAGCAGGGGAUCUUCGGACCUUGCGCGAUUGAAUGAGCCGAUGUCGGAUUAGCUAGUUGGCGGGGUAAAGGCCCACCAAGGCGACGAUCCGUAGCUGGUCUGAGAGGAUGAUCAGACACACUGGAACUGAGACACGGCCCAGACUCCUACGGGAGGCAGCAGUGGGGAAUAUUGGACAAUGGGCGCAAGCCUGAUCCAGCCAUACCGCGUGGGUGAAGAAGGCCUUCGGGUUGUAAAGCCCUUUUGUUGGGAAAGAAAAGCAGCAGGUUAAUACCCCGCUGUUCUGACGGUACCCAAAGAAUAAGCACCGGCUAACUUCGUG